This 253-nucleotide ribosomal RNA is filed under the name uncultured bacterium. RNAcentral's name for it is "partial 16S ribosomal RNA". It matches the Rfam family "Bacterial small subunit ribosomal RNA", at positions 524 to 776 of the family's 1533-position model. The record is from RNAcentral.
UACGUAGGUGGCAAGCGUUAUCCGGAUUUAUUGGGCGUAAAGAGGACGCAGGCGGUCUUUUAAGUCUGAUGUGAAAGCCUUCGGCUUAACCGGAGUAGUGCACUGGAAACUGGGAGACUUGAGUGCAGAAGAGGAGAGUGGAACUCCAUGUGUAGCGGUGAAAUGCGUAGAUAUAUGGAAGAACACCAGUGGCGAAAGCGGCUCUCUGGUCUGUAACUGACGCUGAGGUUCGAAAGCGUGGGUAGCAAACAGG